Molecule: transfer RNA, 74 nt
Filed under: Cordylochernes scorpioides
Lineage: Eukaryota; Metazoa; Arthropoda; Arachnida; Pseudoscorpiones; Chernetidae
Description: tRNA-Thr
Rfam family: tRNA (bases 9-64)
About the family: Transfer RNA (tRNA) molecules are approximately 80 nucleotides in length. Their secondary structure includes four short double-helical elements and three loops (D, anti-codon, and T loops). Further hydrogen bonds mediate the characteristic L-shaped molecular structure. tRNAs have two regions of fundamental functional importance: the anti-codon, which is responsible for specific mRNA codon recognition, and the 3' end, to which the tRNAs corresponding amino acid is attached (by aminoacyl-tRNA synthetases). tRNAs cope with the degeneracy of the genetic code in two manners: having more than one tRNA (with a specific anti-codon) for a particular amino acid; and 'wobble' base-pairing, i.e. permitting non-standard base-pairing at the 3rd anti-codon position.
Source: RNAcentral
UAUUUACUGCCUAGUGGACAUGGCAUCUGCCCGGUAAGCGGAAUGUUGUGGGUUCGAUUCCCGCCCCUGGACAC